Molecule: long non-coding RNA, 1941 nt
Organism: Sorex araneus (European shrew)
Lineage: Eukaryota; Metazoa; Chordata; Mammalia; Eulipotyphla; Soricidae
Exons: 4
Source: RefSeq, a predicted model, not a curated record
UCUGGGUUCCCUCCAGGUCCUCUGACAAACGGUCGUCACAUUGGAACAUCACCGGCUGCCGUGGACACAGAGCCUGCACACUCCGGAAAGCAAUCCACACUUGCACACCUUAAAAAUGGAUAAGCCUGGGGCUGGAGCGAUAGUCCAGCGGGUAAGGCACUUGCCUUGCACACGGCCGACCUGGGUUCGAUCCCUGGCACUCCACAGGGCUCCUGAGUGCAGAGCCAGGAAUGAUCCCUGAGUCCCACUGGGUGUGGCCCUGACACUUUUUUUUUUUAACUAUAAGCCUAUACUUUAAACAACCAGGUAAGUUAUUUGCAUUUUUAUUUGGUACCGGAUUAGAUGGUUUUGCUUUUGUAUUAGUUAGGAAUUUCAAAACAUCAACUUCUCAGGCAAUCGGAAGCGAGAUGCUCUUUAAAUGUCUCCCCAAGGGAGACCGAGGUAAUAACUCUGUCUUUACUCCCAACUUCUUUUCUUCCGCAGUGCUCAGUCCCGUUGCUUUAUUUGGUGCUGCUAGUCACGGGUUCAGCAGCGCCUGCUGGAACUCUCGCCUCCGCCCGUGUGAGGCCGUGAGUGAGAGUCGCACGAAAGGGGGGUCCCGGGCCCCGCCUCCCACCCAGGGCCUCUCUCCACGCCCGUCAGGAGGCAGCCUGGGGUUCUCACAGUGGACCUACGUGUGGACAGAAUUGGGCCGUGGUUCCCCUCACCCGAGACUCCCGGCCACUCCACAGGCCUGACCAGCCCUCGGCUCUGCGGGACGUGCGGCUGCACCCGGCCCGAGCACUCUCGCAGGAGGCUCGUCGCCCCGAGCUGCUUCCCGGGGAGGCUUUCGGGGCCAGGCCGGUCGCCCAGAGGCCCAGGGCAGCGCGCCUGCAAGGCUGCGGGGAGUGACCGGCACACGUGGCCAGCACUGAGACUCCCCGUGGACACCCAGCAGGGUCCUGAGGAAGGCCCGGCACAAAGGCCGGCUGCAGCGGCCAGUCUCCCGGCCCUCGCCUGGACACCGGAAGCUGGAGUCAUCGGCCGCCUGCAGAGCCGUCGAGGAAAAGUCGUGAGUUCUUCACUCUGCUUCAGGAGAGAGUUGGCCACGUCUCUGCUCUCACCCACGGGAUGAGACGAGUGUUUGCGGCACACCGCGGCCCGCCUGCUCCGCUCGGCCUGCCCUCCCACACAGGCCCUCUCGACGGCUGCCAGGACACUCCGUGGAUUUCCCCAGCUCACUGGGCAUCGCUCUGUGCCAACUAAUCAGCAGUGCUCAAUUCAGACCCCUCUGCUCUCUUACCAAUGAGCUUCCCGGAGCCAACGGUCGCGGAUGCAGGGGCCAGUGCUUGGCACUUCAGCGUCAGCCCGAGGGGCUCAGGCGAUGGCCGGGCCCCCCACCCAGGCGCCUGGGGCGGGCUCCUCGCUGCAGAAUGGGCCUAGAGCCGCUCAUGCCGUCCCAGACCACCGGGGCUCCGGGGAACGUGCUCAGUGCGCGGUCAUGUGACUCGGCCCUGCUGCUGGAGGGGCCAGGCUGGGCCCGGGAGCAGCACCUGGGCGGGAGGGGCCGCCUGGCUUCCAGGGUCCUUGGACAGGAGCCACGCCGGGGCCCGCCCACGGUAGGGCCAGUGGGGUCGCCAUGUCACACAGCACACGGGCAGGCUUUCUGUCGCACUCACACGAGCAGUCACACUCCGGCACAGACAGAUGCCCACAGUCACACAGUCAUACACAGAUGUACAAUCACACACAGUCACAUCGACACAGUCACACACAGAGAUGCACACAGUCACAUAGUCACACACCGAUGCACAAUCACACACAGUCACAUGGACACAGUCACACACAGAGAUGCACACAGUCACAUAGUCACACACAGAUGCACACAGUCACACAGUCACACACAGAUGCCCACAGUCACACAGUCACACACACAGAUGCCCACAGUCACACAGUCACACA